Non-coding RNA from Triticum aestivum (bread wheat), 125 nucleotides. NCBI's taxonomy places the organism in Eukaryota, Viridiplantae, Streptophyta, Magnoliopsida, Poales, Poaceae. The record is from Rfam.
AUUCUACUCCCUCCGUCCGGAAAUACUCGUCGAAGAAAUACAUAAAAAUGAAUGUAUUUGAAACUAAAAUACAUCUAGAUACAUCCAUUCCUCCGACGAGUAUUUCCGGACAGAGGGAGUAAUAA